AUUUUAUAAAAAACAAUAUUCCAAGAUCAUUUCUAUUCUCUUUCUAAUUGUGCCCCUACCCAUCACUUCAACAAGCUACAUAAUUAAAAGACUAAGAAAAGAUGUUUCUGAAGGUGUCACUUUUUGAUGUCCCACGUAGGCCAGAGACAGACACCUUAGACAUCUUGGCGCCCAAGGACAUUCUUUAGGUGUAGAGGACAACUGUAGUGUUCUCUUCUUAACACUCCUCUAUUCUCCUGGGAGCAACACUUCUCUUCCUUUGGGAAUCCACCUUCCUUUCCUUUUAAGCCCAUAUUUUCAGAGGGAGGUCUUAAUCACAAUAGUCCUCUCAUCUGGCCACAAGAGCGGCACAUGACCUAUGAAGAUCUGCACCAGGUCUUCUUGGGAUCAAGGAAAAUGGUGCUUAAAAGAAAAAAGCCCUCUCUUCUCUGCUGGUGAAGGCACAAGACAAUCUCCUGUAGAAGAAAGUGAAGGCGAAUGAAGAGACAAAAUAAGAUCUGCAUGGUUCCUGGCUGAUGUAACACAGGCACAAAGACAGCAUCUUGCCUCUCCUCACAGAGUGCCUUGUCACUUCGCUUCCAUAUUCCCAUCACCACACAGUGGAACCACAGCAGCAGUGAAAGGGACAAAAUCUGUGUGCUGGACACUGUGCUGGAUUGUGGGGGUACAACGAUGAACAAGACUGAUGUGGCCCUGCCCGAAUGGAGGGCACAUUCUAAUGGGGAAGAUAGACAGAGACGGAAAAAAACGUAAGUAAAACACAGUAUUGGCUUGUAAUAACUGCCAAGAAGGAAACAAAGAAGGUGCUGGCAGAGGAAAUAACGGGGACCAUGUGAUCUACUCUAAAGUGGGUGGCCAGGAGAAACUCUGAGAAUAUGAUUUACCCUGAUUCACGGUAGUUGAGAAUGAGCUAGCCAUGCGCUAGCUGGUGAGGAGGCGUUCCAGACAGAAGGACAGGAAGUGACCAAGUCAAGACAAGAAUGACUACUGAAGUGUAUGGACUCGUGUGGACAAAUUAGGCAUUUUCUCAUUAUGAUUGCAUUGGUUCCUGUUUUAGAGUAGUAUUCUGUUAGUUUUUUAUUUAGGUAGGCCAGUCGUUGUCAUUCUUGGAAGCACAUUAAAAUCAGCUGGAAAGGUUUUUUUAAAAAAUACAUGUGCCUGAGCUCCAAUCCCAGGGAGUCUGAUUUAAUUGGUCUGGGGUGGGGCCCAGACAUCAGUAUUUUUCUUAAAACUCUACAACUGAUUGAAGUGUGUGGACAAAGUUGAGGACCUCUGGUCUAGUCAGUGGCUACUCAUCAGAAUCACCUGGGGUACUUGUUAAAAAUAUAGAUUCCUAGUCCACUGCCUCAAGAAUCUGAUUGUGUAAGUCUGAGAUAGACCAAGGAAAUCUGUACUUUUGACAAGUACCCUGGGUGCCUCUGAUAAUUAGCCAAGUUUGAGUAACAUUGGGGGCAUCCAAUAAAAAUGAGAAACAAACUAGACUGGUCUGUUUCUUGCUUGAUGACACAUUUCCUCAAACUCAUCCUACUGCUGCCUCUUGUUGAGAAAAAAUUUCCUUCUAAAAUUUCC
Molecule: long non-coding RNA, 1569 nt
Filed under: Equus caballus (horse)
Lineage: Eukaryota; Metazoa; Chordata; Mammalia; Perissodactyla; Equidae
Description: lncRNA (ENSECAG00000047267.1)
Source: RNAcentral